RNAcentral lists this ribosomal RNA (404 nucleotides) under Verrucomicrobiota bacterium. RNAcentral's name for it is "Verrucomicrobia bacterium partial 16S ribosomal RNA". It matches the Rfam family "Bacterial small subunit ribosomal RNA", at positions 355 to 776 of the family's 1533-position model. The record is from RNAcentral. Lineage: Bacteria; Pseudomonadati; Verrucomicrobiota.
UGGGGAAUAUUGCACAAUGGGGGAAACCCUGAUGCAGCGACGCCGCGUGAGCGAAGAAGGCUUUCGAGUCGUAAAGCUCUGUCCUAUGAGAAGAUAAUGACGGUAUCAUAGGAGGAAGCCCCGGCUAACUACGUGCCAGCAGCCGCGGUAAUACGUAGGGGGCUAGCGUUGUCCGGAAUCACUGGGCGUAAAGGGUUCGCAGGCGGAAUAACAAGUCAGAUGUGAAAGGCAUGGGCUCAACCCAUGUAAGCAUUUGAAACUGUAAUUCUUGAGAAGUGGAGAGGUAAGUGGAAUUCCUAGUGUAGCGGUGAAAUGCGUAGAUAUUAGGAGGAAUACCUGUGGCGAAGGCGACUUACUGGACACAAAUCUGACGCUGAGGAACGAAAGCGUGGGUAGCAAACAGG